Long non-coding RNA from Adelges cooleyi (spruce gall adelgid), 693 nucleotides. RefSeq lists it as uncharacterized. The transcript is spliced from 4 exons. Lineage: Eukaryota; Metazoa; Arthropoda; Insecta; Hemiptera; Adelgidae. The record is from RefSeq and is a predicted model, not a curated record.
UAAAAUUCCAAAAAAGUAUGCAAAACAGAAUAACAAUUCAAUUCUAUUAGAUAAAUAUAUAUAUAUCAUGUAUGUAAAAGCAAUAAAACAUGCCAACAGAAGAGGAAGUAAUGCUCCUCGGACCUGACGAUUUAGUAAACAUUCUUGGCUUAAGCUUUUGAUGAUCAUAUGAAUUAUAAUAUUGACUGGACUGCCAACGUUUCAGAAUACGUCUUAGACUACAUGAAACCACAGUGCAAGCAACAUUAAAUGAUAUAUUGAUAUAUUUGUUACAGAAAUUCGUGUUCCCACAAUUACAGAACAAAACUUUGAAAAUUUGACCGAUCUUGUUGAAGCGAGAAGAAUUCAUCCCAGAGCUUCGAAUAAUAUAAUCGCUCGUUCAGCAAAAAAAGUCCCUUUAUUACGGAUGUGUCGUUUAAUAGCAUUGUUAUUGGCUACACCAUUCCCACUAUUAUUUAUGAGAAUUCUUCAUAUAAAAGACGAGGAUAGAAUUUGUUUGCUAAAUAAUUAAAUUUCUCCAACCUACACGUACAGAGAAAUUAAAGACAUAUGGUGGCAAGUAAACUCUAAACACCUUGAUGUUACAAUACAACAACUUAAGGAACAGCUGUUGGUAAUUUAGACUGGAAAUGGUAUAACUCGUCUAAAGUUUUAAAUUACUAUUGUUAUUAUAUUUAAAUAAUGUUUGAAUUU